Molecule: ribosomal RNA, 648 nt
Filed under: uncultured Clostridium sp.
Lineage: Bacteria; Bacillati; Bacillota; Clostridia; Eubacteriales; Clostridiaceae
Description: bacterial SSU rRNA
Rfam family: Bacterial small subunit ribosomal RNA
Source: RNAcentral
AGAGUUUGAUCCUGGCUCAGGACGAACGCUGGCGGCGUGCCUAACACAUGCAAGUCGAGCGGAGAAUGCAGAAAUGUUUACAUGGAAGCGUUCUUAGCGGCGGACGGGUGAGUAACACGUGGGUAACCUGCCUCAAAGUGGGGGAUAGCCUUCCGAAAGGAAGAUUAAUACCGCAUAAGCCUACAGUGCCGCAUGGCACAGCAGGAAAAGGAGCAAUCCGCUUUGAGAUGGACCCGCGGCGCAUUAGCUAGUUGGUGAGGUAACGGCUCACCAAGGCGACGAUGCGUAGCCGACCUGAGAGGGUGAUCGGCCACAUUGGAACUGAGACACGGUCCAGACUCCUACGGGAGGCAGCAGUGGGGAAUAUUGCACAAUGGGCGAAAGCCUGAUGCAGCAACGCCGCGUGAGUGAUGAAGGCCUUCGGGUCGUAAAGCUCUUUGAUCAGGGAUGAUAAUGACAGUACCUGAAAAACAAGCCACGGCUAACUACGUGCCAGCAGCCGCGGUAAUACGUAGGUGGCGAGCGUUGUCCGGAAUUACUGGGCGUAAAGGAUGCGUAGGUGGAUACUUAAGUGGGAUGUGAAAUCCCCGGGCUCAACCCGGGAACUGCAUUCCAAACUGGGUAUCUAGAGUGCAGGAGAGGAAAGCG